Molecule: unclassified non-coding RNA, 207 nt
Filed under: soil metagenome
Description: partial contains 5.8S ribosomal RNA, internal transcribed spacer 2, and large subunit ribosomal RNA
Source: RNAcentral
AACACUGUUAACCUGCGGUACCUGCGGAGGGAUCAUUAACAAGCUGUGGGAGAUCAAUUUGAUCUCACACCUGGCCAACCUUGUUAACCUUAAAUAUAUUGCUUUGGUGAGCCCUGCUCACCAAAGUCAAACCCUAAACUCUUGAUUGUUUCUGCUGUCUGAGCAUGCAAGUGCAAAAUUUAGUUAAAAACUUUUAGCAAUGGAUCU